Molecule: ribosomal RNA, 253 nt
Filed under: uncultured bacterium
Lineage: Bacteria
Description: partial 16S ribosomal RNA
Rfam family: Bacterial small subunit ribosomal RNA
Source: RNAcentral
UACGUAGGGUGCGAGCGUUGUCCGGAAUUACUGGGCGUAAAGAGCUCGUAGGCGGUUUGUCGCGUUGUUCGUGAAAACUCACAGCUUAACUGUGGGCGUGCGGGCGAUACGGGCAGACUGGAGUACUGCAGGGGAGACUGGAAUUCCUGGUGUAGCGGUGGAAUGCGCAGAUAUCAGGAGGAACACCGGUGGCGAAGGCGGGUCUCUGGGCCGAUACUGACGCUGAGGAGCGAAAGCGUGGGGAGCGAACAGG